AACGAACGCUGGCGGCAGGCUUAACACAUGCAAGUCGAACGAGACCUUCGGGUCUAGUGGCGCACGGGUGCGUAACGCGUGGGAAUCUGCCCUUUGCUUCGGAAUAACAGUUAGAAAUGACUGCUAAUACCGGAUGAUGUCUUCGGACCAAAGAUUUAUCGGCAAAGGAUGAGCCCGCGUAGGAUUAGGUAGUUGGUGGGGUAAAGGCCUACCAAGCCGACGAUCCUUAGCUGGUCUGAGAGGAUGAUCAGCCACACUGGGACUGAGACACGGCCCAGACUCCUACGGGAGGCAGCAGUGGGGAAUAUUGGACAAUGGGCGAAAGCCUGAUCCAGCAAUGCCGCGUGAGUGAUGAAGGCCUUAGGGUUGUAAAGCUCUUUUACCCGAGAUGAUAAUGACAGUAUCGGGAGAAAUAAGACUCCGGCUAACUCCGUGCCAGCAGCCGCGGUAAAGUGACUACUG
This 462-nucleotide ribosomal RNA is filed under the name uncultured bacterium. RNAcentral describes it as "bacterial SSU rRNA". It matches the Rfam family "Bacterial small subunit ribosomal RNA", at positions 29 to 534 of the family's 1533-position model. The record is from RNAcentral.